Molecule: ribosomal RNA, 906 nt
Filed under: uncultured Achromobacter sp.
Lineage: Bacteria; Pseudomonadati; Pseudomonadota; Betaproteobacteria; Burkholderiales; Alcaligenaceae
Description: bacterial SSU rRNA
Rfam family: Bacterial small subunit ribosomal RNA
Source: RNAcentral
AUUGAACGCUAGCGGGAUGCCUUACACAUGCAAGUCGAACGGCAGCACGGACUUCGGUCUGGUGGCGAGUGGCGAACGGGUGAGUAAUGUAUCGGAACGUGCCCAGUAGCGGGGGAUAACUACGCGAAAGCGUAGCUAAUACCGCAUACGCCCUACGGGGGAAAGCAGGGGAUCGCAAGACCUUGCACUAUUGGAGCGGCCGAUAUCGGAUUAGCUAGUUGGUGGGGUAACGGCUCACCAAGGCGACGAUCCGUAGCUGGUUUGAGAGGACGACCAGCCACACUGGGACUGAGACACGGCCCAGACUCCUACGGGAGGCAGCAGUGGGGAAUUUUGGACAAUGGGGGAAACCCUGAUCCAGCCAUCCCGCGUGUGCGAUGAAGGCCUUCGGGUUGUAAAGCACUUUUGGCAGGAAAGAAACGUCGCGGGUUAAUACCCUGCGAAACUGACGGUACCUGCAGAAUAAGCACCGGCUAACUACGUGCCAGCAGCCGCGGUAAUACGUAGGGUGCAAGCGUUAAUCGGAAUUACUGGGCGUAAAGCGUGCGCAGGCGGUUCGGAAAGAAAGAUGUGAAAUCCCAGAGCUUAACUUUGGAACUGCAUUUUUAACUACCGGGCUAGAGUGUGUCAGAGGGAGGUGGAAUUCCGCGUGUAGCAGUGAAAUGCGUAGAUAUGCGGAGGAACACCGAUGGCGAAGGCAGCCUCCUGGGAUAACACUGACGCUCAUGCACGAAAGCGUGGGGAGCAAACAGGAUUAGAUACCCUGNUAGUCCACGCCCUAAACGAUGNCAACUAGCUGUUGGGGCCUUCGGGCGCUGGUAGCGCAGCUAACGCGUGAAGUUGACCGCCUGGGGAGUACGGUCGCAAGAUUAAAACUCAAAGGAAUUGACGGGACCCGCACAAGCG